GGGGGAUAUUGCGCAAUGGGGGCAACCCUGACGCAGCAACGCCGCGUGAAGGAUGAAGGUUUUCGGAUUGUAAACUUCUUUUAUUAAGGACGAAACUUGACGGUACUUAAUGAAUAAGCUCCGGCUAACUACGUGCCAGCAGCCGCGGUAAUACGUAGGGAGCAAGCGUUGUCCGGAAUUACUGGGUGUAAAGGGAGCGUAGGCGGGAUCGCAAGUCAGAUGUGAAAACUAUGGGCUUAACCCAUAAACUGCAUUUGAAACUGUGGUUCUUGAGUGAAGUAGAGGUAAGCGGAAUUCCUAGUGUAGCGGUGAAAUGCGUAGAUAUUAGGAGGAAUAUCAGUGGCGAAGGCGGCUUACUGGGCUUUAACUGACGCUGAGGCUCGAAAGCGUGGGAGCAAACAGGAUUAGAUACCCUGGUAGUCCACGCCGUAAACGAUGAUUACUAGGUGUGGGGGGACUGACCCCUUCCGUGCCGCAGCAAACGCAAUAAGUAAUCCACCUGGGGAGUACGACCGCAAGGUUGAAACUCAAAGGAAUUGACGGGGGCCCGCACAAGCAGUGGAGUAUGUGGAUUAAUUCGAAGCAACGCGAAGAACCUUACCAGGUCUUGACAUCGUAUGCAUACCUCAGAGAUGAGUGAAAUCUCUUCGGAGACAUAUAGACAGGUGGUGCAUGGUUGUCGUCAGCUCGUGUCGUGAGAUGUUGGGUUAAGUCCCGCAACGAGCGCAACCCUUACUGUUAGUUGCUACGCAAGAGCACUCUAGCAGGACUGCCGUUGACAAAACGGAGGAAGGUGGGGAUGACGUCAAAUCAUCAUGCCCCUUAUGACCUGGGCCUCACACGUACUACAAUGGCUGUUAACAGAGGGAUGCAAAGCCGCGAGGUGGAGCGAACCCCUAAAAGCAGUCUUAGUUCGGAUUGUAGGCUGCAACCCGCCUACAUGAAGUCGGAAUUGCUAGUAAUCGCAGAUCAGCAUGCUGCGGUGAAUACGUUCCCG
RNAcentral lists this ribosomal RNA (997 nucleotides) under uncultured bacterium. Its description in RNAcentral is "bacterial SSU rRNA". It matches the Rfam family "Bacterial small subunit ribosomal RNA", at positions 356 to 1376 of the family's 1533-position model. The record is from RNAcentral.